Molecule: long non-coding RNA, 1521 nt
Filed under: Daphnia pulex (common water flea)
Lineage: Eukaryota; Metazoa; Arthropoda; Branchiopoda; Diplostraca; Daphniidae
Description: uncharacterized LOC124188994, transcript variant X2
Source: RNAcentral
GUAAUUCAUCAACAGUCCGUUUUCUUGUUCGACGUCUAAAAUAGCAGUGCAAGUGAGAACAUUUUCUAUGUCCAAAUUUGUCAACUCUUUCGUGCACUUUGGGGUGGCAUGGCUUCAGCCUCUGAGAAAACAGUUGAAUAACUUGACUUUAGACUACGUGAUGAUGAGAGGCGUGAUUUAACUACAUAAAGUCAAAAAUACUGCUCAUACUUGUGAUUGUGAUAAACAAAGAAAGCAAAUUUGAAAUUUCGUGUCAAACUGUCAAGGGAUUCUGUUUAACAUCACGUCGACACUUAGCUGUCAUCUGUCAAUUUGGCUACAAUCUCGGAUCGGUUAACCAUAGGAUCGGAUCUUUUUUCUACAUUCUUCUAUUACUCAAUAUUAUAAGUCCAGGUCAAAUUCGUAUGUGUGAAGUUAAUCUGUACACAUGAAGUCAUUACAGGAAAAUACGACCGUCAAAGAAGAUUAACAUAAUAAUUUGUUACUGUUAGCACUGUUAGUAUUCAAAGAUGUAUUAAUCAGGUGUUCAGUUCAACAACAUCACUAUGGAGGAGACUCCUCAUAUUCUCGUUAGCUGGUCCUGCAGUUAUCAGGUACAAGCUAGUGACAAUUUGCCUGGUAUUAAAAGGGAUUGAGUCUUUGUCAGAGGGCAUCGUUUGCCACCAGUCAAUGUUGAACAAAUUGGCCGGUAGCUGGGAAUUCAUUCAUAACUUUGAAAUUUGACAAGCAGGCUGUUUCUAUCUUCGACUAAGCUAAAAGAAGUCAUUGUAUCAUCAGCCCUUACUGAUGAAAUUCUUUUGAAUCCCACAAUAACUAUGACCACCAUCUAGCCUUUCCAGUCAAUGAGCUUCGAAAAUUAGCAAGCUGUCUGAAAAAAGGGGGAAAACGACUAGGGCUCAAGACUUGUUCUCUGAUGUGAUCCCCAUUAGUACUGACACCAAACUCCCUGCUUUGUUGAUCAAACAAUUGGUUCUGAGUGGAAAACUCACUGAGAUGGAAGCACAUUUAUGAUUCUUGUCCUACCCUACCAUCUGAGCAACUGUUCACCUCACGGGAGAAUCUCUUGAAAGAGAGCCUCAACAUAAAGAUCAAGGAACCGAUACCAUCAACAAGUACAUCAUAGCAUCAUAGCAUGUCGUGCAAGUCGUCAAAGAUCCACACUGCGUACUCCAACUUGAUGCCUGCUUCACUCUACGUAACACCAACUUGAUCCCUGCCAUUGAGCAAUAUGAGCAUCUUAUGGAAAUACGCAUCUUGAGCAUCUCACGUCAAAAGCGGCUCCGUUCUUCACGCUGUCAACCUCACGUAAUCUUUGCUCUGCAGGCUGCAGCCCAUCGUCACCGUUAACCGCAACAAUUUCUUGCCUGCUAUUCUCUCCCUGAUUCUGAAUGCCACCGAGAUCCGUGUAACCGCUUUCGUUCACCUUGUUCUGCCGGUCUGCGUUCAUCCCACUUUCCUCGAGCUGUUAUCUUUCCCCGUGUCUGUUAUUUGUUUAUAAAAAUACAAUCAUUUGCUAACAAA